AUUCGAUUAGAGUUUGAUCCUGGCUCAGGAUGAACGCUAGCGGCAGGCUUAAUACAUGCAAGUCGAGGGGCAGCACGGGUAGCAAUACUUGGUGGCGACCGGCGCACGGGUGCGUAACGCGUAUGCAAUCUACCUUCAACAGGGGGAUAACUCUGGGAAACCGGAACUAAUACCCCAUAGAGUUAAGAAAUGGCAUCAUAUUUUAACUAAAGAUUCAUUGGUUGAAGAUGAGCAUGCGUUGGAUUAGAUAGUUGGUGAGGUAACGGCUCACCAAGUCGACGAUCCAUAGGGGAACUGAGAGGUUUAUCCCCCACAUUGGUACUGAGACACGGACCAAACUCCUACGGGAGGCAGCAGUAGGGAAUAUUGGGCAAUGGAAGAGAUUCUGACCCAGCCAUGCCGCGUGCAGGACUACGGCGCUAUGCGUUGUAAACUGCUUUUAUACGGGGGUAACAGGGGCUACGUGUAGUCCUAUGAAAGUACCGUAAGAAUAAGCAUCGGCUAACUCCGUGCCAGCAGCCGCGGUAAUACGGAGGAUGCAAGCGUUAUCCGGAUUUAUUGGGUUUAAAGGGUGCGCAGGCGGAAUAGUAAGUCAGUGGUGAAAUCUCUCAGCUUAACUGGGGAACUGCCAUUGAUACUGCUAAUCUGGAGUACAGACGGCGUAGGCGGAAUAUGACAAGUAGCGGUGAAAUGCGUAGAUAUGUCAUAGAACACCGAUAGGGUAGCCAGCUUACGAGGCUGUAACUGACGCUCAAGCACGAAAGCGUGGGUAUCAAACAGGAUUAGAUACCCUGGUAGUCACGCUGUAAACGAUGAACACUCGUUGUCGGCACGCUGGUGUCGGCGGCUAAGCGAAAGUGAUAAGUGUUCCACCUGGGGAGUACGUUCGCAAGUAUGAAACUCAAAGGAAUUGACGGGGGCCCGCACAAGCGGAGGAGCAUGUGGUUUAAUUCGAUGAUACGCGAGGAACCUUACCUAGACUUGAACGCAGUUGGAAUAUAACAGAAAUGUUAUAGCCGCAAGGCCGAUUGCGAGGUGCUGCAUGGUUGUCGUCAGCUCGUGCCGUGAGGUGUUAGGUUAAGUCCUGCAACGAGCGCAACCCUUACUGUUAGUUACCAGCAUGUAAAGAUGGGGACUCUGACAGAACUGCCCACGCAAGUGCGGAGGAAGGUGGGGAUGACGUCAAAUCAGCACGGCCCUUACGUCUAGGGCGACACACGUGCUACAAUGGGCGGUACAGAGGGCAGCUACUAUGUGAAUAGAUGCUAAUCUCAAAAGCCGUUCUCAGUUCGGAUCGGAGUCUGCAACCCGACUCCGUGAAGUUGGAUUCGCUAGUAAUCGCGUAUCAGCCAUGACGCGGUGAAUACGUUCCCGGGCCUUGUACACACCGCCCGUCAAGCCAUGGAAGUUCGGAGCGCCUAAAGUACGUAACCGUAAGGAGCGUCCUAGGGUGAAACGAGUAACUGGGGCUAAGUCGUAACAAGGUAGCCGUAAAUCGA
Molecule: ribosomal RNA, 1499 nt
Filed under: uncultured bacterium
Lineage: Bacteria
Description: bacterial SSU rRNA
Rfam family: Bacterial small subunit ribosomal RNA
Source: RNAcentral